Molecule: transfer RNA, 72 nt
Organism: Pelodiscus sinensis (Chinese soft-shelled turtle)
Lineage: Eukaryota; Metazoa; Chordata; Testudines; Trionychidae
Rfam family: tRNA
About the family: Transfer RNA (tRNA) molecules are approximately 80 nucleotides in length. Their secondary structure includes four short double-helical elements and three loops (D, anti-codon, and T loops).
Source: Rfam
GGGGGUGUAGCUCAGUGGCAGAGUGUUUGAUUGUAGGUCAAGUGGUCAUUGGUUCAAAUCUAAGAGCCCCCU